UUUCUUUGUUUUUGGUGACUCUCUGGUUGAUAAUGGCAACAAUAACUAUCUUGCAACAACUGCUCGAGCCGAUGCCCCUCCCUAUGGCAUUGAUACUCCGACUCAUCGAGCCACUGGCCGUUUUUCUAAUGGCCUUAACAUCCCUGACCUUAUCAGUGAGGCAAUUGGCUCAGAACCCACACAGCCAUACUUAAGUCCAGCACUCACAGGAGAAAGAUUGCUUGUGGGCGCCAACUUUGCUUCUGCCGGAAUUGG
RNAcentral lists this unclassified non-coding RNA (255 nucleotides) under Hevea brasiliensis (rubber tree). The record is from RNAcentral. Lineage: Eukaryota; Viridiplantae; Streptophyta; Magnoliopsida; Malpighiales; Euphorbiaceae.